This 456-nucleotide ribosomal RNA is filed under the name uncultured bacterium. RNAcentral describes it as "bacterial SSU rRNA". It matches the Rfam family "Bacterial small subunit ribosomal RNA", at positions 29 to 535 of the family's 1533-position model. The record is from RNAcentral.
AAUGAACGCUGGCGGCAGGCCUAAAACAUGCAAGUCGAACGCUGUAGCAAUACAGAGUGGCGCACGGGUGAGUAACACGUGGGAAUGUGCCUUUUGGUACGGAAUAGCUUCGGGAAACUGGAAUUAAUACCGUAUGGUCCUCGGGUAAGGAUUUAUCGCCAAAAGAGCAGCCGCGUCUGAUUAGCUAGUUGGUGAGGUAAUGGCUUACCAAGGCGACGAUCAGUAGCUGGUCUGAGAGGACGAUCAGCCACACUGGGACUGAGACACGGCCCAGACUCCUACGGGAGGCAGCAGUUAGGAAUAUUGGACAAUGGGCGCAAGCCUGAUCCAGCCAUGCCGCGUGAGUGAUGAAGGCCUUCGGGUUGUAAAGCUCUUUAGCCGACGAAUAUAAUGACUGUAGUCGGAAAAUAAGCCCGCCGCUAACUUCGUGCCAGCAGCCGCGGUAAUACGAGGGGC